This 728-nucleotide ribosomal RNA is filed under the name uncultured Planctomycetota bacterium. RNAcentral describes it as "bacterial SSU rRNA". It matches the Rfam family "Bacterial small subunit ribosomal RNA", at positions 558 to 1278 of the family's 1533-position model. Lineage: Bacteria; Pseudomonadati; Planctomycetota. The record is from RNAcentral.
GCUUGAGCACGUAGGUGGGUUUGUAAGUCAGGUGUGAAAGCCUUCUGUUCAACGGGAGAAUUGCAUCUGAAACUACAAGUCUUGAGUGUAGGAGGGGAGAAUGGAACUUCUGGUGGAGCGGUGAAAUCCGUAGAUAUCAGAAGGAACGCCGGCGGCGAAAGCGAUUCUCUGGCCUAUUACUGACACUCAGUGUGCGAAAGCUAGGGGAGCAAACGGGAUUAGAUACCCCGGUAGUCCUAGCCGUAAACGAUGGGCACUAAGUAGAGGGGAUUACCGACGUUCUCUCUGCCGUAGCUAACGCAUCAAGUGCCCCGCCUGGGGAGUACGGCCGCAAGGCUAAAACUCAAAAGAAUUGACGGGGGCUCGCACAAGCGGUGGAGCAUGUGGCUUAAUUCGAUGCAACGCGAAGAACCUUACCGGGGCUUGACAUGGUAGAAGUAGGAACCCGAAAGGGUAACGAACGGUAUCCAGUCCGUGACUAUCACAGGUGUUGCAUGGCUGUCGUCAGCUCGUGUCGUGAGACGUUGGGUUAAGUCCCCUCACGAGCGAAACCCUUGUUUUUAGUUACCAGCGGGUUAUGCCGGGUACUCUAGAAAGACUGCCGUCGUCAAGACGGAGGAAGGUGGGGAUGACGUCAAGUCAUCAUGGCCCUUAUGCCCCGGGCUGCACACGUGCUACAAUGGUCGGUACAAACGGAAGCGAAGCCGAGAGGUGAAGCGAAUCCAAGC